Pteronotus mesoamericanus is the source of this 165-nucleotide small nuclear RNA. RefSeq annotates it as U1 spliceosomal RNA. The transcript has a single exon. NCBI's taxonomy places the organism in Eukaryota, Metazoa, Chordata, Mammalia, Chiroptera, Mormoopidae. The record is from RefSeq and is a predicted model, not a curated record.
AUACUUGCCUGGCUAAGGACACACCAUGAUCACUAAGGUGAUUUUCCCAGGGCAAAUCUUUUCCAUUGCACUUUGGGUGUGCUGACCGCUGCGAUUUCCCCAAAUGUCGAAAGACUGGGCUGCAUAAUUUGUGGUAGUGGGGAACUGAGUCUGCGCUCUUCCCUG